UCAACUAGCUAUAUUGAGCGUCAAAGGACAUAUAAGAGUAAGGGUGGUGGUUUAUUACAAAUAUCAUUAGCUAUGUCUUGUGGUCGUGACUAGUGAAUUGUUCUUAAUUAUUUUCAUUGCUUAUGCAUUUCGACUGCAUGUUUAAUCAGCAGGUCAAAACUGGAAAAGUUUUCUCGGCUAGAUCAGUUUAACACAUUAAUAUUAGCUAAAAAUAGAUCUUGGUUAUUUUUAAAAUUAUUAUAGGCCUGCACUCUUUUAAGAAAUGAUUAUAGAGUGGAUCUAAGAAAAGCUUCUUUUCUCUUAUUCAGAAAAAAAAUCUGGACCAUAAAAAAAGAAGUUGGUUGGGCUUUCUUGGACAACCCUGUCUAUUCAAGUUUCUUGGAUAUAUUCGUUGUUUUUUUGGUUAAGAGAUCAUGAGCGUAUAUUUACAGAUGUCUAGCAUGUUAAACUUGCUAUUUUUGUGGGGGAUGUGGAUUUGACUUGGAACCUAGUAACAUAAGGUGGGCACAUUUUGACAUGCAUAUGGUUUGAGCACUUCAUUUGAAAGCCUUGUUGCAGCUGCUGUAGUAGCAGGCUGCUAUUCCAAGAGUGUUUUUAGUGCUUCAUUCUUAUUCCCUCAAUCUUUUGAAACUCUCUUUAUCUCAUUCCUGAUGUACAUUUUUUGGUUACCUGCUUAAUUUACAUCCAUGUUAACAAAAUGCAUUGCUUGCCUUCCUGAGUACUACUCUUUUCACUUUUUAACUUGGUUCCGUUUGUAAGUCCUUAUUCAUUCUGUUGUAAUAUACCCUUUUGACUGGCAUCUAAUUGUUGUAGUUUUGGACUUCCUGUAAUUCAAACAUUUAAAAAAAGGUCAUACUGACUUGUAGCAAUUGUAUAGGCUUUGCAUAUGUUCCACAUGACACAUGAGAGAGGGAAGGAGGGACUCUAUUGGAAAGAUAUGUUUCAUGUAAGUGUGUUACAAGUUAUGUCUGUCCAUCAGUCUAAGAUGGCAUGUAGUAGAUGUCAGGAAGAUAGGCAUACAUGCAUCUUUUGCUUGUAAUAUGUAAUGUAACUUUCAUCAUUCCAACUGAAAGGAGACACACUUAAAUGACUUUGCUAUUCAGAAACUGUAACAAUUAAGUUUAACCAAGCUGAAAUAACAUUGGUUGAAAUCCUUAUGCUUGUCUAUGUCAUACUUGUCUAUGUUGAUAUUUAAAAAAAAUAUCAACUGACUAUUACACUUCUGGUACCUCUCUAAUGUCUUGAGCAUGUUGUUUCAUUGUCACAAGCUUAUGAUGCUUCAGUUUAGAACACAAUUAGAUAAUCCCAAAGCAAAUAUGUUUUCAUUAUGAAGUUAAUAAUAGAUCUAUAUUUUUUCAUCUCGUUGGUACCUGAUUUUAACCCUCAGAAAAUCUGAAAAGUUUCUUUUGCAUUCUUACACAGAUUUAAAGACAACCAAUUACUUGUUGUCAUCUCUGACUUGUUUUUGAAAACUUUGUGCUUUAAGAUUUUUGCUGGAUAUAAGAUUGUUUCAUCCUAGCAAAAAGAACUGAAGACUUAGAGAUCGACAUUCUAGUACAUUUGAAAACUUUGUGCUUUAUGGAUCGUUUAUGGACCAUACCCAUUCUUAUAAUGAUAAAUCAACUCUUGAAGGAUAAUGACUUUAUUUAUCCUCUUUUGUAGGUGGAGCAAUUGAAGAAAGGGAAGAUGGAGAUUGUGAAGAUCUAGGCUUUACUUAAGAACUUUGAAUUGUUGUCCAUGUUCUAGGAAUCUUUUGUUAUCAACAUUUGAAACUUAUAACUCUAACUCUUGAAGUGUUGAAAUAUAAAACUUAUGUGAUAUUGGGUUAAAAUAUUUUGGUUUUAUGGAGAC
Molecule: long non-coding RNA, 1851 nt
Filed under: Nicotiana tabacum (common tobacco)
Lineage: Eukaryota; Viridiplantae; Streptophyta; Magnoliopsida; Solanales; Solanaceae
Description: long non-coding RNA (NTAB_LNC018720)
Source: RNAcentral